RNAcentral lists this ribosomal RNA (429 nucleotides) under Acidobacteriota bacterium. RNAcentral's name for it is "Acidobacteria bacterium partial 16S ribosomal RNA". It matches the Rfam family "Bacterial small subunit ribosomal RNA", at positions 355 to 776 of the family's 1533-position model. The record is from RNAcentral. Lineage: Bacteria; Pseudomonadati; Acidobacteriota.
UGGGGAAUUUUGGACAAUGGGGGAAACCCUGAUCCAGCCAUCCCGCGUGUGCGAUGAAGGCCUUCGGGUUGUAAAGCACUUUUGGCAGGAAAGAAACGUCAUGGGUUAAUACCCCGUGAAACUGACGGUACCUGCAGAAUAAGCACCGGCUAACUACGUGCCAGCAGCCGCGGUAAUACGUAGGGUGCAAGCGUUAAUCGGAAUUACUGGGCGUAAAGCGUGCGCAGGCGGUUCGGAAAGAAAGAUGUGAAAUCCCAGAGCUCAACGUUGGAACUGCAUUUUUAACUACCGGGCUAGAGUGUGUCAGAGGGAGGUGGAAUUCCGCGUGUAGCAGUGAAAUGCGUAGAUAUGCGGAGGAACGCCGAUGGCGAAGGCAGCCUCCUGGGAUAACACUGACGCUCAUGCACGAAAGCGUGGGGAGCAAACAGG